Long non-coding RNA from Cynoglossus semilaevis (tongue sole), 2044 nucleotides. RefSeq lists it as uncharacterized. The record is from RefSeq and is a predicted model, not a curated record. The transcript has 5 exons. Lineage: Eukaryota; Metazoa; Chordata; Actinopteri; Pleuronectiformes; Cynoglossidae.
GUUUGUAGACCAUAAACAACCAAGGAGGAAUCGUGGAGGGGGACAAAGAGGCGGGGGGAUUUGAGGACUGCUCAUAUCCUUUCUGGUGUGCAAAGGCCUCCGAAGAUCCCUGAGGUAUUUCAGAGAAGAGUGGGAGUCACAGACGACUGGAACACAGUUCCCACCCCUCUCUUUCACCUGAGGACAGAAGAAAGAGCCACAUGAACCACCCACAGUAGAUGGCGCCCACGGUCAGACACGGUUCACCUCAGUGGAUUUGGCAUCCUGUGUGAAGGUCCACAGUGAAAAUGUCACCUGCACAGCCGUUUGGUUCAGAGUCUGCUCCUGGCGCCCUGUGAUGUACACGGUGGCCCCUGCCUCCGACAGCUGUAGAGCGAUGCCCCUGCCGAUGCCCCUGGAGGCACCUGUGACCAAACACACCCAUCCGGACAGGGACAUGGUCUGUGUGAUGUAAGUGACAGCGUUAGCCCAAAGGUGCUUAUGGCAGGAGGCCAUGGAUGUGACCACAACCUCCACCAGGAUUGGCAGAUCUGAGGCCAGGUUCUUCCAAGCUAGUACAAAGAGGAGUCAAAGGUCGUUUUGGUCCCAUCAACUGUGUGGCUUUCCACCCUGACAGCAAGAGCUUAAAAAUGACCAGGACGAUGUCGUUCACGUAACCGAAACCGGAUGAUUUGGACUUCUUGGCGUGGUGGAGUCAACGGCCCAGGUGAGGACGACAUGGAUCUGCUGCUACCCCUGAAGGGAUUUACUGAAGACAAACCAUCUACACAGUCAGCAGAAUACUGCUACUUACCAUGACACAUUUGCCUCCAAAGUGAAGAGACCCAGAAAUACGUACCAUCAUAACAACAGCAAACCUUUUCCUCUGUACCUCCACGCAGCACCAUUUUGCCACCAGGAAAGGAAGGACUGCCAUUUUCUUCUGCUUUUAAAGGGCACAGCAGCGCCUCGUUAUCCAAUCACAGGCGACAUCCACAAUCCACCAGGUGCAGGGUCAUUAGUUUGUUAAUGGGUAGACAGUCACUGCACACUAUUGUCAGUGCAAAUAAAGGAAAAUUCCAGCAACUCUUAUACUGAAUUAUGCUGCAAAUACUGAUCGCAUCAAAUUUGUGCAAAUGUUACAAAACAUGGCAAAGAAACGCAAUGCAUUAUUUGCGUCUAUUUGUCAUAAUACCAAGGAUACAUUUUAGAUUUGGGAACUGAGAUCUUUUGUCUGCAGCUUUGUUGAAUUUACUGUUGAGAUAUAAUGAUUGCUGCCGAAAACUGCUUGUGCUGCUGCAGAGAAAGGGACGCAACUGGUAAGUCUUAUUAUUGUGAAAAAAUGCAAAAAUAAUGUCCCAGAAAUACCUCAAAAUGCACAUUUAUGCUGUAAAACAUGCUGCCAAGUAAAUAACUUAAGCUAAAAACUGCAAAAAAAUAUUUUACCUGCAUAUUUCAAAAUCUCACCAAAAACAAGAGCAGAGGGUGAACAGAGGAGACGCCUGAGGUGCUGCGAUCCAGACCAACAGGCCUCAGACCCAGGUCAUUAUAUGUUCUUGUCUUGUGACCACCACAAAUGUGAAAGUAUUGUUUUAUUUAUAAAACUAUUGACAUUUCCAAUAUUUUGUCUAAAGUCACAGUAAAGUUUUUAAGAGAAUCUUUGUGUGUCUUGUUUGACAUUUUACUGGAGUAACAGAUCAUUCCAGUAUUUACUGUUAGAAGAAGGUGAAAAGAAAUAAAAUCAAAAUAUAGGACGUAAAUCCAAGACAUAUUGUCCUUGAAAUGUUUAAAUGAUCAGGGAUCAGCAGCCAUUUCUGGUUAAGUUGUUGACAGUAAACAGGCAGGACAACACAAGCAAUUUUAAUUCUAGCAGGUUUACUGGUCUGUAGAUGUAAAUGUGUAAUAUGUUUUAGUAAAAACACAUUAGAUUAUUGUAUGAAUGCCUGAAUACAGGCUAACAUCUAACUGUUAAAUUAUUAACAAUGUAUUAUUAAUAUGUGAAUGUCUUGAUGGGAAAUAUUCCAGAAAUCAUCUGGAGCAAUAAUAAAGGGUUUACUGAAAAAUA